UUGAAGAAAAAGCGAGUAUCCGAAGAGUAAUUGAAGCUGAAGGAGUUCCUUACACUUACCUUUGUUGCCACGCCUUUACCGGUUACUUCUUACGUAACUUGGCUCAACUCGACGUCACUGAUCCUCCUCGGGAUAAAGUUGUCAUUCUUGGAGAUGGAAAUGUGAAAGGUAGCAAACUUAUUCACAAAACAGUUUUAGUACUAGUAUUCUACUAAACAUACAUCAUUCAAUUGUUUCAACAUUUGCCUUAAUUUUUUUUUUUUUCAGGAGCUUAUGUCACUGAGGCUGAUGUUGGGACUUUUACCAUUAAAGCAGCAAAUGAUCCCAACACAUUGAACAAAGCUGUCCAUAUAAGACUCCCCAAAAAUUAUUUGACCCAAAAUGAGGUUAUUUCUCUUUGGGAGAAAAAGAUUGGGAAGACUCUUGAGAAAACUUAUGUUUCAGAGGAACAAGUUCUCAAGGAUAUUCAAGGUCAGUAAAAUAAACGCUUUAUAAAUAUUGUUAAGAAUUUUUACAAUGUUAAUCAAUCAAUAAAUCGUUAAAAUUAUUUGAUUUUAAUUAUAUCUAUGCUUACUACGCAGAAUCUUCAUUCCCUCAUAACUACUUGUUGGCAUUGUAUCAUUCACAACAAAUAAAAGGAGAUGCAGUUUAUGAGAUUGAUCCAACCAAAGAUAUUGAAGCUUCUGAAGCCUAUCCUGAUGUCACAUACACCACUGCUGAUGAAUAUUUGAAUCAAUUUGUCUAAGUUUGUCAUCCCGGAAAUGUUAAAUAAGACAAAGAUUAUUUUUUCUUAAUAGUUUCACAUGUUGUACCACAUCAAUUAUAUUGUUAGUUGUCCUUGUUGUCUUGUUCUCAAUAAACCUUCCAAUUGAUGUAAUAUUUUACAAAAAUAAUAAUAUUGUAUUGUUCUAUUGUUUGCACAUUUGUGUCACUAGUAUCACUCUAUUAUUUUGUUGUUGCCCGUGAAUGGGUGACUCAAUAAAUUAUUUAAUACCCACGUCAGGAUGGACCGAUCUACCGUAUGAAGCAAUAUUUGUUUGGUCUCGGUUAUAAAUUUAAAUUAUUUACACACAUGCAAAAGAAAAAAAGUAGAAAGAAUGAACCAAUAUUUUUUUAUUUUAUUUUUAUGGGGGUGUUUGUUUGGGAGAUAAAAAAUAUAUUCCUGGGUAUAAGGGCAUUAAAUAUGAUAUUCCUAUGUUUGGUAGAAGGGAACAAAAAUAAUAUACCCAGGAAUAAAUGAUUCCCAGGAAUCUUAUUUACCCGUUGACUCUCUAUUUUUAUUCCCGGGGGUGGGGGGCUGGAAUCUUCAAUUCCUGAGAAUGAAAUCUCCACAUUCAUGACGAAAACCCACCCAUACCCCUAUUUUACCCACGCUUCUUCCCUCCUAAUUUUUCCCACGCGUUUUCUAAAUUAAUAGAAACCCACAUAUAUAUAAACCCCUCUUUGCUCUCUCUUUUCACUCAUCUGGAUCCAGAUCCAUCCAUAACAGGUUUGUGUCUUAUGUUUUGUUUUGUUUUUUGCGUUUUUUUAACUGCUGGACAGAUUCUCGGCCUGCCAGGCUGCUGUACCAGCGGAGCUGGGCCGCGCAAAUGCGAGUUUCGGUGACUGACAUUCGAGCGGGCAUCCACCAUUCUGUUGCUGUUGCAUGUCAAAGGUGUUGGGCAGUCUGCCAACCUUCAAUUAAAUGGCGUGUAACAACUUGAAACAGGGUACUCUUGUUAUGUAUUAAAAAACAAGUAUAUACCCUGACCAAUACCUUUGUUGACUCGCAUAAUUUACUUUGCUUGAUUAAAAAUAACAUGAAAAAUAUUAUUUUUCAUCAAUUUAAUGUAAAAGGGUAUUUUAAUAAUUUUGACAUUUAUUCCUGGGAUUAUACAUUUUAAACCAAACAUAUUUUUAGUAUUCCCAGGAAUUUAGAAAGAAAGUUCCAAGGAAUUCAAAUUGGUAACCAAACACUUUUUUAAAAUAUUCCUAGGAAUAUAAUUCCAAGGAAUAUAUUCCUGGGAAAAUUAUUCCAGGGAAUAAUUUUUGCAUCUGUGAAACAAACGGCCCCUAUAUUAUUGAAAUAAGUGCCCUAAAGGCAUUUGUUAGCAUUCUCCUUAAAAUAAUUAUAUGAUGUGUAUUUUGAUUGUGCACUUAAAUGAUUUGAAUUUGUGGUUGUGACUAUAUAAAAAUUAUUCGACGGCAUGAUCAACAGACCGUGUGAACAAUUGAAAUAUAUUAAAUAAUCAUGUUCAGACAUCCCUUACUUGUAGAGGUGUCAAAUGGACUGGACAACCCAGUUCGGCUUAAGAGUUUUGACUACAUAAAUGAACCAGUCUGACCAAGCCCAUUUGUAAUUGGGCCGCAUAAAAUAUAAUUGAAUGGAUAUAGAAGUAUAAAUAUUUUUUACAUUACCAUUAAAUACUAAUUAAACUCUAGAUUUAUUUCUUCAAUUGAAUCAAAUUAAUACUACAUCCGUCCAUAAUUAUAGGAUCCUUUUGAAAAAUAACAGGAAUUAAGAAAAUUAAAAGUGAUAAUAAAUUUGUUUUUAAUUACAAUUGUUUUUACAAAUUUGUCUUUUAAGAGUGGGUUAGUCCGUUAAUGUAUGUUUACAAUGUAGUAUUUAAUGAUGAUUGAAGAAAAAGAUAUACAAUAAAUAGGGGUAUGGUGGUAAAGAAUUAAUUAAUAUAUUUGGAAAUAGCAAAGAGAUUUUUAUAAAAAGAGACAAAAAAAUUCUCAAAAGGGUCCUAUAAUUAGGGACAGAGACAGUAGUUUAUAAACUUUAGAAUUUUAAAACUUUGAACUAAAUUUAUGCAUUUUUAUUAAGUUGACUUAUUUCAAUAUAUUUUAUUAAUAAAUUUUUAAAGUAGUUGAUAAUGUUUUUAAAAAAUAUAGCGUUUUUUAACAAAAAUAAAAUAAAAGUAUAGAUAGUAGGUCGGUCCGAAGUCCGAUAGGUUAGCCUGACUCGGCCCCAUUUUCAUAUGGAUCAAAUGAGCUAAGGUAAAAAAAAAUACGAGAGUAUUUUUAGUUAGGUUUGUGGUUCGGCCCAAAAUGUGUCAUUUUUUAUGUCUCUACUUACUAGCCAUCUCACCAUUAACAACGAUUUGUCAACUAAACAAUGUCAUCUUCUUUUCUAUUAAAGUUAACCCGGAAGCCCUAAUUUUAACCUAAACUAUAUUGCAUAAAUUUACUGUUUUAACCCUAAUGCUUAAUUCCUUUGUUUAAUCCUAUUAACCCUAUUUCUUGGUUGAAACAAAUUGAACCUAAUCUCCUAUUUUCUUGAAUAAAACAAAUUGGCCCUAUUUCUUCAACAAAACAAAUCGCUUUAUUUCUUGCUUUAAAAAAGAAACAACAACUCAAGUUGGGAUACUCUACUUGACCUAGAAGAGAAAUAACGGAAAGAAGAACUUGCCUUUUUGAGAACUUAUUGUCGGAACUCGGAAGCAAUGGUGAUCUGCUAAGUUUAUGGCGAGUUCGAUUGAUUAUGAGCUGCUAAGUUCGAUUGAGUAAGAGUUCGAUUGAUUAUGAGUUGCGAAGUUCCAUUGAGUAACAGGCAACAAAUCCUUCUUCUCAUGGCGGUAGGGAUGAGAGAUUUUGCUUACAACAAAUUAAUGGCAUGAUCAUAGGAAAGAGAUUUUAGUUUCUAGGUUUAGUAAGAACAAUGGGAUGAGAAAUGAUGAGGUAGAGUUGCAUGUGAAGAUAUGAUGAGGGAGAUAAAGAUGUUGAUAGGUUUUGGAAUAGGAAAGUAAUUUUUAUGAGAGAGGUUGACUACAGCUAUAAAAUAAAUGAUAAUUAUAUUUAUUUGAUACUUCCUAAAUGUUGUUACUUGAGAGUUAAAACGAUCUCUUUCCUGUGCAAACUAAAAAAUAAAGAGAAUAUAUGAAUUUUUAAUUCCAGCUAUUUUUUAUUCUUUUUUUUUUUUGUCUUUGAAAAUUGAUCUUUAAACUUCAUUAUUUGAAAAAAUCGAUUAUUUAUACUUUAACUAUUUUUAUUAAACUUAAUGUCUACUAAAAAUACAAUCUUAUUUCUUCUUAAUUUUUUAACACGUGAUCAAAAUUAUAUCUUUUUGUGUCUUUUGCUCCAACUUCCCUCUAUUUUUGCUUUCUUAAAAACAAAUUAAAACAAACUCACUCGAUAGAAUUCACUAACUUAAUCUUUUUUUAAAGAAAAAACAAGCUUAAUCUUAAUAAAUAUAUAAAGAGUUAAAAAUAAUUUACAAUCUAUUUUCUUUCUCUUUCUCUAAUUAUGAAGUUAAUGACCGAUAAAAACAAAUUUUUGCCUCAUCUUAAUAUUUUGACACCUCAACAUAUAUUUAUCUUUGUAUGUCUUUUGUAACAAAAUAUCCUAUUUCGCUGAGGGAGAAAAUAACUUUCAAAAGAUUGAUGUGAUUUUAUAACAAAAAAUUCAUUUUAUAUUGAUAUAUCUAUACAAUCUAAAAUAUUUGAAUACCGGACAAAUUACUCUUAAAAAAAAAAAUCAUCGGCAAAUUAUAAUAACCUCCCUUAAGAUCUUCUUAAAUACUAACCUUCCUUAAGGUCUUCUUAAUUGAAAAGCACUUCCCCUAUAAUAUAACACGGUUUAAACUUCGUUCAUUCUAUUUUUUUUAGCAAUUAACUUCUCCAUACGAGUAUAAACUCACUUAAUUUUUCGACCAUUUUUUCUUUCCAUUUUUCACUUUAGUGAUUUUCUCAACUUAUUGUUCCUCAAUUAAGGUGAUUUAAUUUUUAAACUCUAAUAUAAUAAAACGGAUAUAUCAAAGAUUAUUUUCUUUUCAUUGAUCAACUGCAAUGUCCAUCCACUAAAAUUCUUCUCAUUUCUAUAUUCUCUCCUGAUCUCUUAUGUAAUUGCCGAUGUUUGAUUCUAUUUGGCGGUAUGAACAAAUGUUGUUAUUGUUUCUUCAUUGCGAGAAAAAAACUCAUUUAAACAUAAUUGUGAAAAGAGAAAUUAGAUACAAACAAACCAAAAUGACUGAAAUUAAAUUGUAUAUUUACAAAGUUAUUGAAAUGGAAAAAAUGUGGGAAGAUUGAUGUGUUGGAAAAUUAGAAGGCGUGCUUGUGUUAUUUAAGAAAAUCUCAAGGGAUGUCAAUGUAAUUUACCCUUUUAUCAUUAAUGUUGACUUUAUCAUUAGUUUUUUCUUAUUUUUUCAAUUCAUAUAGCAUUGCAAUGCGCUUUGAUGCAUACCCCCGCUUCAAAUUAGCUCGUGCGGAGAGCACGGGUUUGUUGCUAGUUGAUAUAAAUAAUGUGAUUGAUGUCACUUUCAGUUAGCCCCCAAAACUUUGCAUAAAGGGUGAUUCACUGUCAAUUAAAAUUUCUGAAGAUUUAUACCAAGUAGGGUUGGAAAAAUACAAGAACGAAUUGCAUGGUAGAUUUAAGUUGUAAAGGAGGAUAUGCCACCAUGGUCGUAUCUGAGGUAGGAUAAAGAGAACGACUGUACUAGACUUCAAAAAAUAAGUUCAAAAAAAUACAAAAAUAAUACUUAAAAGUUUAGUUCUUUGUUGGCACAUAUCUAGAAAUGCUUGUAGAAAUUGUUUUGUAUGAGCAUUUAAAUAUUAAAUAAAAAAUCAUAAUUUUAUACGAAGUUUGAUAUUUUUAUUAGAUUAUUUCUUAGCGUAAUAAAAACCAUCAUUUUCAAGUAAAUUAUUUUCACACUUUAGAAAUUCAAUUUUUUUAUAUGCUUAUUAUUUAAGACUCAAAUUGUAGAUUUACCCUUAGGACACCAAAAUCUUAGAAACGAACAUGUAUGUCACUCAAGUCGGAUGACCUUCAAUUCAAAUUAGCCAAAUUAUUGAAAUCAUUAUGUCAUUGAAAAAAUGAUACCACUAGGUAAGGGUUUUUACGAAAUUUCAUUUAGUUUCUAAAGAGGGUUUAAGAAGGACAUGGAUUAUGGGAGCACAAUCUUUGCAUUUGGGUAUCUUGUCUUUGCUUCGAUGGACACCAGAUUUCAGUUUAAGGAAACGAAGACAAACAAAUGUAGAAUGUUGUUAUCUCCAGUUAUACUUCCUUCAAUUUGUGAGUAAGUAAAAUUAUGGCUUAAUUACCUAUUUUGUUUCUUUCACUGAAUUACAUAAAACAUGUGACAUGUCUAAAAGAAAUUCAAUUUGGCUAUCAACAUUGUUGAAUGUGACUUAAACUUUCAUGUUUGAAUGGUGAAAAAAUGGUUUGCUAUUGUCCAAUAUGAAAGGCAUAUCCGGUGGUGAGGCGCAAGGCAUACUCUGGGUGUUUUUAUCACAUUUCGGUUCUGUCCCACAUGCCUUGCGCAUGGAGCAACAUGCAAGGCGCAUCCUGGAUAUGCUAACUUGAUGCAAGGUGCCUACAUCAGGUACAUCAUCUAUGAUUUCCAGUUUUCUCAUUCUUUUGUGAUUAAUCUUAUGAAACUAAAGAAGAUAGCUCUUAAGUAUCUUAGAGGCUAAAAGUAGAGGGUCUUUGUGUGAGAUUUUUAGGUUGGGCGGGAAACACAUUGUAAAUUUGAAUGUUGGCAACAAGUUAUGCAAGCUGAACUUUCUGCUCUUGAGACUCCUGGUACAUGGAAAAUUGUGGAUUUACCAUAAAAUGUGAAACAAAUAGGUUACAGAUGGAUUUAUAAGAUCAAACAUUAUGUUGAUGGAUCUAUUGAGAGGUACAAAGCCAGACUUAUUGCAAAAGGGUACAAUAUUUGAUAGAAAGACUUGAUUAUUUUAUCGCAUACUCACCAGUUGAUGUAAUAUUUUAGAAAAAUAACAAUAUUGUAUUUUGUUCUAUUGUUUGCACAUUUCACAUUUGUGUCACUAGUGUUCAGUUUUGAAAAUUUUACAUCACUCUAUUAUUUUAUUGUUGCCCGUGAAUGGGUGACUCAAAAACUUAUUUAAAACACACGUCAGGAUGGACCGAUCUAUACCACAUGAAGCAAUUUUAUUUAUUUAUUUUAAACAAUGUACCUUUUGGACAUUGUGUGGUCACAAAUUCUUCAAAAAUAAAAUUUAAAUUAUUUACACAUAUGCAAAUGAAAAAAUUAGAAAAAAAAGAAGCGAUAUCUUUUAUUAUCAUUUUUUUGAAGAGACUAAAAUGAAUUAUAUUACCACCACGAAAGUCUUCCUAGCACAAGGGAUGUCAAGGAAUAAAAACCUCAAAGUCAAACAAAAUAAUAAAUUACAACAAGGCAAAAGCCAUCACCACAAAACAACCUGAAACAACACAACAAUUAUCCUAUGCCUAGUAAAGUGAACGAACUAAGCCACCAACCAUGAUAGUUAAAAUGAAGAGUAGCAUACUUCGCCUUCAACCACUUGAAUGUUAGCAACUUAAUCCUAUCCACCACCUGCAUAAUGGCGCUAUCAUUAGCAUUAAAAAUUAUGUUGUUUCUUUCCUUCCAUAUUUCCCACAUAGUCGCAAACCAAAUCACCUGAAGAAUAGAUUGCCUCGACUUAGAGCCACCGCUUAAAAAACUGAAUUGAAUAAAAUGCCCCGAAACAUCUAAAGGCAUCGCUGUAGCUAUACCAAUCCAUUGAUAUAUAUAAUUCCAAACCGAUCCAAAAAGACUACAAUGUAAGAAUAAAUGGUUUUAUGUUUCAACAAAACCGCAUCCACCAACACAAAUUUGAGCGUCAAAAUCUAAAACAUGACGCCUAUGAAGAUUAACCUUUGUAGGAAGCCGGUCACGAAAUACACGCCACGCAAAAAGCACCACCUUCAAAGGGACAUCCUUAUGCCAAAAAGAAGGCAAACGCACCACAUUAUCAACAUGAACCUGCGCCAUGAGAGUAGUGUCUGCACUUUUUACUGUAUAACAGGAAGUAGGAUCCGCGUUCCACUUCCAAAAAUCCUUUAUGUGAACCUGAAAAGAAACAUUUUGAAGUAAAAGCCUAAGCUCCCCUACCGACUCUUCCUCCCAAGCCCACAGCCUACGCCUCCACCUCCACGCCCCACCCUCCUCCUCCCACCCUAACGCUCUCAUCGCUGCAACAGACUCCUCCUUUAGAAGCGACAACUCAUACAACCUACUAAAUCUAUCCCGAAGCGACACUCGCUUCACCCAAACAUCCGUCCAAAACAAGACACUAGACCCAUCACCCAAAGAACGACUAAUAUUAUUAUUAAACCAGCCCUCAGAUCGCAAGGCCACUAUACUUCGCCACCACGCGGAACCAUCACGACCUCCACUACACAAGUGACCGCCCUCCAAACCAUUUCGCGCCGCUAACACCCUAAACCACAGACUAUCCCUAUCCACCAACACCACUUCCCUAAUAAUGCUAAAUUAAAUUCUUUAAUUCUCCUAACCCCCAAACCUCCAACUUCCUGACUCCGACAAACAGAAUUCCAAUCAACCCAAAUAAUUUUCCUGUGGUCUGCACUCCCCCCCCCCCCAAAAAAAAUUAUUUAAAAUAGAUUCAAUAGAAGAAACAAUACCUGACGGAGCCUUGAAAAAAGAAAGAGCAUAAACAGGCAGGGACGAUAGGACGGACUUCAGUAGAACCAACCGGCCACCCAAAGACAAGUGUUUCGACUUCCAACCCAACAAUCUAGACUUAAGACGGAAUGAUUUAUAUUUUGUAUAUGUACCUAAAUGAUUUGAAUUCGUGGUUGUGACCACACAAAACUUAUCCGACAGAAUGAUCAAUAGACUAUGUAGACAAUUGAAAUAUAUUAAAUAAUCAUUUUCGGAUAUCCCUUACUUUGUAGAGGUGUCAAAUGAAUUGAUCCGACUCAGUCCGGACUGAGAGGUCCGACUACAUAAUUUGGUCAGAACGACCCAACCCAUUUGUAACUGGACCGCAUAUUAUAGAGCCCGACCUGAUCUAUAGGUCAUGGACCAACCCGACCCGUUUAUUUAUUUAUUCACUUUUUUUUCUUUCUUUUUUUUUAUGUAUUUUUUAUAUAUUAGUUACCCACAACAAUCUUUUUUCUCAAAUAUGAUUGGAUGAACAUAGAAAUGCAAAUAAUUUUUACAUUAACAUUAAAUACUAAUUAAACUUGAGAUUUAUUCCUUCAAUUGAUUCAAUUAAUAAUUUAUAAACUUUAGAAUUUUAAAUCUUUGAGCUAAAUUUAUCCGAUUUUAUUAAGUUUACUUAUUUAAUUUUUUUUUUUAUUAAUGACUAUUAAAGCAGUUGAUAAAGUCUUAAAAAAUAUAGCGUUUUUAACAAAAAUCAAAUGGAAAUAUUGAUAGUGGACCGGUCCGAAGCCUGAUAGGUUAGCCCGACUCGGCCUAUUUUUAUAUGAAAAUUACUCUUCUUCCUUUUAAAAUUGUUUAUUCUCUUAAGAUCGGUUGACCCGACUGAAAAUGUGAUUGAAUCGAUUUUAAAAGUGUUAGCAAGAGUUAACUACCGCUGAAAAAUACCUAACGUGAGUUAACUUCCGCUUAUAUAAGAGAAUGAUCAAUUUUGAAAGGAAUAAGAGCAAUUUUCUUUUUAUAUGGGUCAAAUGAGUUACGGUCAAAAAAGUCCGAAAAAUGCUCUUCUCUCAAAAAGAUUUGCUCACUUCCAACCAAACUUACAAAAAUACUCCACAUAAGUUAAGUCACACAUAUAUUAAACUCAGCAUGACUUAACUCACGUUAAAAAUUUAAACUGAACUGCAACAUAAAUUAACUCACCUUAGUUUUCUUUCUCAAGUUUCACAUGAAAAUCUUGCUCCUGCUAAGAUGCUUAUUUAAUUAUUUAAUAUAUUGCUGUUGAUAUGAUUGUGUGUACCUGUCGCAGUAAUGCAAAGUAGAAGGUAUCCAGCAUGACCCAUACCAUGAUGCUAGCAGCAGUACACACGUGUGUUGUUAGGACAGCAAGAGAUGCAAUGGUCCAUACACCCAUUUAAACCAUUAUAAGCAUUGGAGGAGCAAGAUUUUCAUGUGAAAAUUGAGAAAGAAAACCAGCGUCAGUUAACUUACGAUGGGAUUUAGUGUGAGUUUUUAGCAUGGCUUAAGUCACGUAGGUUGUAUUCCAGUAUGAUUUAAGUAAGUUGGGUUUAACACUUGCGUGAUUUAACUCACGCGAGGAUAUUUUCAAAAAUUUGGUUGAGAAUAAACAAAUCUUGUUGAAAAAAGAGCAUUUUUCAAAAAGUCCGAAUGCAUUUUGGGCCGUCUUUUUUAGAUCCAGCCCAAAAUGUGUUAGUUUUUGCAAUCUCUACCUACUUGCCAUCUCACUAUUAACAACGAUUUAUCAACUAAACUAAACAAUGCCAUUUUUUAUACAUGCACUAAAUAAUGUGAUUGAUGUCACUGUCACACAACCCCCAAAACUUUGCAUAAAGGGGGAUUCAUUGUCAAUAAAAAUUCCUAGGAUUUAUACCAACCAGGGUUGGAAAAAUACAAAAACAAACUGCAUGGUAGAUUUACGCUGCAAAGAGGGAUAUGCCAUGGCCGUAUCUUAGGCAGGGCAAAGAGGACGAUCAUACUAGUUCUCACAUAAUAACUUCAAAUUUAGAUCUCAAAAUUCAAAAAUAAUAUUUAAAUAUUUAGUUCUUUGUUGGCACAUAUCUAAAAAUGCUCAUAGAAAUUGUUUUGUAUGAGUAAUUAAUAUUAAAUAAAAAAUUUCAAUAUUUUAUAUGAAGUCCAAUGUUUUAUUAGAUUAUUUCUUAGCGUAAUAAAAACUAUUAUUUUCAAGCAAAUUUUUUUCACAUUUUAGAAAUUCAAUUUUUUGUAUAUAUUUAUUAAUUAUGAUCCAAAUUGUAGGUUUAUCUUUAAACCACCAAAAUCUUAGAAACGGGCUUGUAUGCAUCUCAAGUCGGACGACCUUCAAUUCAAAUUAGUCAAAUUAUAGAAACCAUUAUGCCGUUGAAAAGAGGCUUUAAGAAGGACCUGAAUUCUGAGAGCACAGACUUUAUAUUUGGGUAUCUUGUGUUUGCUUCAGUGGACACCACACUUCAAUCUAUGGAAACAAAGACAAACAAAUGUACAAUGUUGUUAUCACCAAUUAUAUUUCCUUCAAUUUGCAAAGAAGUAAAAUCAUGGCUUAAUUACAUAUUUAGUUCCUUUCACUGAAUUACAUAAAACAUUUGACAUGUCUUAAAGAAAUCCAAUUUGGCUAUCAACAUUGUUGAAUGUGACUUAAACUUUCAUGUUUGAAUGGUGAAAAAAUGGUUUGUUAUUGUCCAAUAUGCAAGGCAUAUGCGGUGGUGAGGCGCAAGGAGCAUCCUGGAUCUGCUGACUGUGCGCAAGGUGUCUGCAUCAAGUCCAAUAUCUAUGGAAUUUCAGUUUUCUCAUCCUUUUGUGGUUGUGAAACUAAACAAGAUAGCUUUUAAGAAUCUUAGAGACUAACAGUUGAGUUGAGGGUUUUAAGUAAGAUUUUUAGGUUGUGAAACUCAUUAUAAAUAUUUUGGAGAUUAAAAGUAGUUGAGUCUCUUGAUCACAAAAAGAUAUAGAAAAAUGGGUAAAAAUUAGAUUGUUCAUAGAGAACUUGUUCAAGCUAAUUUUUUAUAACUUAUUUUUAUCAUUUGUAAGAAUUAAACUCAUUUAUUGGGAAUUGGAGAGUUGCAUUUUCCCAUAUGUAGGUUAUUAUUGUUGGACCAAACUGAAAACCAAAUCUUGAUGUGUUUAUUUCUCUACUCUCUUUAUUUUGUUGUUGUUGCUUUGAUUGUGGAUUUUCUUUACGCUUUUUUGUUACAUCGACAAUUAUAAAAAAUUAACAAUCUAUUGAAACUCAUUUCAAGCGCUCUAAGUGUUUAAGAACAAUUUAUGUUGAGUGAUUAAACACAUUUUUUUUUGUAAUAGCUGUAUAUAUCUAUCAAAUGAAGACAAAUUCUUUGUAUUUUUUUCUUUUUAUUUAUUAUAUUUACUUUUUGCUUAAAAAAAACGAAGAGAAAUUCAACAUGCAGGUUGUGUGGUGUCAUUGUUGAAAAAUUGUGAAGUAUAGGUUUCAAGUUGAAUAUUAAAAAAUCCUUAAAAAGUUAGAUGUAUCAUCGAUAAUUUGGAUUAUAGAUGGAUGAUACGAUGGAUACAUACUCAACCAAAUUGUUUUCGUAAGCUGAGUUUUUUGUAUAUAUAUAUUACAACUGACUAGUAGUAUGUUUUAUGCGGAGUUAAUAGACUUAAGAGAAGGUGUCAAUCUUGACCAACAGGGGCUACUUCUAAUUCAACAAUAAUGGAAUAUUAUUAAAUUUGGUCACCAAAACACACAGAGAGUAGUAGAUAGAUGGAAGUUGGUGGCAAUCCAAAUUAGUCCUAUAAAUAUCAAACAAAGUAUAGUUUAUUCAUAACACACUCACUACUACUUUGGUAACUUACUCAGAACAAGAAAAAACAGACACACAUAAACACACUUGUUUUUUUACUAAAGUUAUUUUUUCUUCCAAUGGCAACUGAAAACAAAAUCCUGAUCCUAGGACCAACAGGAGCUAUUGGAAGACACAUAGUUUGGGCAAGUAUUAAAGCAGGAAAUCCAACAUAUGCUUUGGUUAGAAAAACACCUGGCAAUGUUAACAAGCCAAAGCUUAUUACAGCUGCUAAUCCUGAAACCAAGGAAGAGCUUAUUGAUAAUUACCAAUCUUUAGGAGUUAUUCUACUUGAAGUAAGUGAUUUCAAUUUCUGAAAUAAUUUUAUAUUUUAUACUAAUUAAAUUUUUCUAAUCAAUAUGUCUUUGACUCUGCAGGGUGAUAUAAAUGAUCAUGAAACUCUUGUUAAGGCAAUCAAGCAAGUUGAUAUUGUGAUUUGUGCUGCUGGUAGACUACUAAUUGAGGAUCAGGUCAAGAUUAUUAAAGCAAUUAAAGAAGCUGGAAACGUUAAGGUGAGCAAAUUUGUCACUACACCACACUAAAUAAGUUCAAAUAAGUCAAUCUAAAUAAACUAUUAAGUAAUAGCUCCUUUGCUGGUUAGAUUUCGGCUUGUUAUAUUGAAUGUUGGUACUAAAUUUCUUGUGUCUACAGAAAUUUUUCCCAUCCGAAUUUGGGCUAGACGUGGACCGUCACGAGGCAGUUGAGCCAGUUAGACAAGUUUUUGAAGAAAAAGCGAGUAUCCGAAGAGUAAUUGAAGCUGAAGGAGUUCCUUACACUUACCUUUGUUGCCACGCCUUUACCGGUUACUUCUUACGUAACUUGGCUCAACUCGACGUCACUGAUCCUCCUCGGGAUAAAGUUGUCAUUCUUGGAGAUGGAAAUGUGAAAGGUAGCAAACUUAUUCACAAAACAGUUUUAGUACUAGUAUUCUACUAAACAUACAUCAUUCAAUUGUUUCAACAUUUGCCUUAAUUUUUUUUUUU
Molecule: long non-coding RNA, 13142 nt
Filed under: Medicago truncatula (barrel medic)
Lineage: Eukaryota; Viridiplantae; Streptophyta; Magnoliopsida; Fabales; Fabaceae
Description: long non-coding RNA (MTRU_LNC002865)
Source: RNAcentral